RNAcentral lists this small nuclear RNA (82 nucleotides) under Crocodylus porosus (Australian saltwater crocodile). RNAcentral describes it as "U4 spliceosomal RNA (ENSCPRG00005009674.1)". The stretch from base 1 to 68 matches the Rfam family "U4 spliceosomal RNA". Rfam says of the family: U4 small nuclear RNA (U4 snRNA) is a component of the major U2-dependent spliceosome. The structure of U4 snRNA from yeast and human has been reported. U4 snRNA presents a k-turn RNA motif in the 5p-SL related to recognition of Snu13 protein. The record is from RNAcentral. Lineage: Eukaryota; Metazoa; Chordata; Crocodylia; Crocodylidae.
UAGUUUACGCAGUGGCAGUAUCGUAGCCAAUGAGGUUAAUCCAAGGUGCGAUUAUUGCUAAUUAAUAUGUAGUUGUUGAAAA